CCUGGGAACUGCGUUNUGAACUGGGUGACUAGAGUGUGUCAGAGGGAGGUAGAAUUCCACGUGUAGCAGUGAAAUGCGUAGAGAUGUGGAGGAAUACCGAUGGCGAAGGCAGCCUCCUGGGAUAACACUGACGUUCAUGCUCGAAAGCGUGGGUAGCAAACAGGAUUAGAUACCCUGGUAGUCCACGCCCUAAACGAUGUCAAUUAGCUGUUGGGCAUCUUGAUUGCUUAGUAGCGUAGCUAACGCGUGAAAUUGACCGCCUGGGGAGUACGGUCGCAAGAUUAAAACUCAAAGGAAUUGACGGGGACCCGCACAAGCGGUGGAUGAUGUGGAUUAAUUCGAUGCAACGCGAAGAACCUUACCUGGUCUUGACAUGUACGGAAUCCUCCAGAGACGGAGGAGUGCCUUCGGGAGCCGUAACACAGGUGCUGCAUGGCUGUCGUCAGCUCGUGUCGUGAGAUGUUGGGUUAAGUCCCACAACGAGCGCAACCCUUGUCAUUAGUUGCCAUCAUUUAGUUGGGCACUCUAAUGAGACUGCCGGUGACAAGCCGGAGGAAGGUGGGGAUGACGUCAAGUCCUCAUGGCCCUUAUGACCAGGGCUUCACACGUCAUACAAUGGUCGGUACAGAGGGUAGCCAAGCCGCGAGGUGGAGCCAAUCUCACAAAACCGAUCGUAGUCCGGAUUGCACUCUGCAACUCGAGUGCAUGAAGACGGAAUCGCUAGUAAUCGCAGGUCAGCAUACUGCGGUGAAUAUGUUCCCGGGUCUUGUACA
Molecule: ribosomal RNA, 773 nt
Filed under: uncultured bacterium
Lineage: Bacteria
Description: bacterial SSU rRNA
Rfam family: Bacterial small subunit ribosomal RNA
Source: RNAcentral